CGAGUGAAGCGGGAAAAGCUCAAAUUUAAAAUCUGGCAGUCUCUCUUUUCUUCUUUGGCUGUCCGAGUUGUAAUCUAGAGAAGUGCUUACCNGUGCUGGACCAUGUAUAAGUCUCCUGGAAUGGAGCGUCAUAGAGGGUGAGAAUCCCGUCUUUGACAUGGAGUUGCCAGUGCAUAGUGGUGUGCUCUCAAAGAGUCGAGUUGUUUGGGAAUGCAGCUCUAAAUGGGUGGUAAACUCCAUCUAAAGCUAAAUAUUGGCGAGAGACCGAUAGCGAACAAGUACCGUGAGGGAAAGAUGAAAAGGACUUUGGAAAGAGAGUUAAACAGUAUGUGAAAUUGUUGAAAGGGAAACACUUGAAGUCAGUUGUGUUUGCUAGGGAUCAACCCAGCUGAUUUUU
RNAcentral lists this ribosomal RNA (397 nucleotides) under Amanita sp. Its description in RNAcentral is "LSU rRNA". It matches the Rfam family "Eukaryotic large subunit ribosomal RNA", at positions 90 to 466 of the family's 3401-position model. The record is from RNAcentral. Lineage: Eukaryota; Fungi; Basidiomycota; Agaricomycetes; Agaricales; Amanitaceae.